RNAcentral lists this ribosomal RNA (494 nucleotides) under uncultured bacterium. RNAcentral describes it as "partial 16S ribosomal RNA". It matches the Rfam family "Bacterial small subunit ribosomal RNA", at positions 28 to 507 of the family's 1533-position model. The record is from RNAcentral.
GACGAACGCUGGCGGCGCGCUUAACACAUGCAAGUCGAACGGAAAGGCCUGCUUUCCCUUGUGGAUUGCGGGUACUCGAGUGGCGAACGGGUGAGUAACACGUGAGUGAUCUGCCCCCAACUUGGGUAUAAGCCUGGGAAACUGGGUCUAAUUCCCGAUAGGACUGCAGGGUGGUGCCUGUGGUGGAAAACGAUUUUCUAGUGGUUGGGGAUGAGCUCGCGGCCUAUCAGCUUGUUGGUGGGGUAAUGGCCUACCAAGGCGGCGACGGGUAGCCGGCCUGAGAGGGUGGACGGCCACAUUGGGACUGGGAUACGGCCCAGACUCCUACGGGAGGCAGCAGUGGGGAAUAUUGCACAAUGGGCGGAAGCCUGAUGCAGCGACGCCGCGUGGGGGAUGACGGCCUUCGGGUUGUAAACUCCUUUCGACCGAGAGGAAGCCACCUGGUUGGAAGGGUGGUGACGGUAGUGGUAGAAGAAGCACCGGCUAACUACGUG